Molecule: ribosomal RNA, 198 nt
Filed under: uncultured bacterium
Lineage: Bacteria
Description: partial 16S ribosomal RNA
Rfam family: Bacterial small subunit ribosomal RNA
Source: RNAcentral
ACGCUCGACACCUACGGGAGGCAGCAGUGGGGAAUAUUGCACAAUGGGGGAAACCCUGAUGCAGCAACGCCGCGUGAGUGAAGAAGUAUUUCGGUAUGUAAAGCUCUAUCAGCAGGGAAGAAAAUGACAGUACCUGACUAAGAAGCCCCGGCUAACUACGUGUCAGCAGCCGCGGUAAUCUGAGCGGGCUGGCAAGGC